CCUACGGGAGGCAGCAGUAAGGAAUAUUGGACAAUGGAGGCAACUCUGAUCCAGCCAUGCCGCGUGAAGGAUGAAGGCGCUCAGCGUUGUAAACUUCUUUUGGAUGGGAACAAAAACUCCGAUGCGUCGGAGCCUGAGGGUACCAUCAGAAUAAGCACCGGCUAACUCCGUGCCAGCAGCCGCGGUAAUACGGAGGGUGCAAGCGUUAUCCGGAAUCACUGGGUUUAAAGGGUGCGUAGGCGGCUCGAUAAGUCAGUCGUGAAAUUCCCCGGCUUAACCGGCGGGACUGCGAUUGAUACUGUUGAACUUGAAUCAGGUUGAGGUAGGCGGAAUGUGGCAUGUAGCGGUGAAAUGCUUAGAUAUGCCAUAGAACACCGAUUGCGAAGGCAGCUUGCUGGACCUGUAUUGACGCUGAGGCACGAAAGCGUGGGGAGCAAACGAGGUAUUAGACUACCCGUGGUACGUCCACGCCCUAAACGNUGUUUACUUGCUGUGCGGUCUUCGGAUUGCGUGGNGAGAGAAGACGAGUAAGUAACCGUAACCGUGGGUAGGUUACGCCGGCGACCGGUUAGAACGUUACGAAGGAAGUUAGGACGGGCGUUGAGACGUUGCCGACGGACGACGACGAGGGAGGAGG
RNAcentral lists this ribosomal RNA (637 nucleotides) under uncultured bacterium. RNAcentral's name for it is "bacterial SSU rRNA". The stretch from base 1 to 543 matches the Rfam family "Bacterial small subunit ribosomal RNA", at positions 338 to 873 of the family's 1533-position model. The record is from RNAcentral.